This is a long non-coding RNA of Haliotis rubra (blacklip abalone), 2898 nucleotides long. RefSeq lists it as uncharacterized. Lineage: Eukaryota; Metazoa; Mollusca; Gastropoda; Lepetellida; Haliotidae. The record is from RefSeq and is a predicted model, not a curated record. The transcript has 2 exons.
AGUACACUGUACUUGCAAUAAACGUGAUAUAGUGUAUGUUGUGUAUGAAGCAAUAACAUCACACUCUAUCAAUAUUAGUCAAAUCACAAUUGGACAUGUUAUUUUGUCCUGACAAAUCAAAACUAUUUUCAUAUGCUAUGACAUGAAGGUGGUUUUACUUUCAAUGUUUACAUUAUCUUCUCAUAUCAUGCUGAUGUUUAUGUUAAAUGAAUCAACAACAUCAUCCAAUGCAGAAUGGACUAUGAAACGUGAUAUUUCAUUUACGAAACUAAGUACUAUAAAAAGAGCAACAGCAUAAUAUAGAAUCAGCCAUAGGUCGAACAUUUGCUGGAACUUUAAAGAGGGCCCACUCAUCUAAGGUGCUGGGAUCCUCUCACCAGAGUUAUGUCCAUUGGGCAGAUCAAAAACUUUGAUUGCGAGUUUGAAUCCCAUUUCGUUAUGAAAUUAUACCUGUUCUCGUGGUUUUCACCAAAGUGGUCAACACAUGCACCUACUGGCCCACACAUCAAAGGUGCUAGGAUUCUUUCACCAGAGUUAUGACCCUUGGGCACAUCAAAAACAUUGAUUGCAGGUUUGAAUCCCAUUUCGCUAUGAUAUAAAACCUGUGCUCGUGGGUUUCUCCAAAGUGGUCAACACCUGAGGCCUCCAUCAAUUUGGACAUACCACGAUGUAACUGAAUGCUGUUAUUAGUGGUGUUAAUCACAAAUCACUAAAUAGAGACUAUGGUUCAGCAGUCCUGUUCAAGCACCACUUUGUUGGUCUGAAAUUUUAUAACAUAGAUAAGAUUUAUCUUUGAUUAUUACCUUUCUCAAAAUGAGGAAAUGUUUCAGUUUCACAACAACAUUAAUGGCUGCUGGAACUAGUCUGGCCCUUGUACCAUGGAUCCUAGGGUCCAUGGAGCACAGUCUACACUGUGUAGCCUUCAGAUGCAUUCAUCAUUAUAUUAUUUCCCUUUUUUCUGGUUUUAUCAUUUAGUCAAGAUUGUAAAAUGGUGCUUAUGUUUUUAUUGUGGUAUCUGUUUGUUUUGUUUCAGAGAUUUGGGUGUUCAGUUUUUUAAUGACAUGUAUUUUGUUUCCACAGUCAAUUAUUAUGUACUUACCAUAUAUUACCGUAGAUAAGACGAAUUUUGAGGACGAAAAAAAAUCUGUAAGAGGCGGUCAGCUUAUCUACAGGUUACACUUUCGGUAAUCCUAAUCUGGUCAUUCCUGAGAUUCAAAUAUUCCAUAGAAAGCUGGCCAUAUCAUAUUGUAUUUUGAUGUUAGGUCAGUUCUGUGCUGUGAGUACCGUACAUGACAUGACAUGACAUACUCACAUUGCUUGAUCAACCAGGACAGGUUCUGAGGUUGUUUGUAUCCCAGCACCUAUUUCAAAUAUAGAUGUUGUAGGUCAUUGUUCCGUUUAGUCUGCAGACAAAUUUUGAAUCUUUCUAUCUUAUUGUUAGCAGUACAUCAAAAACAUGCUUUGAGCUUAAUCAUAUCCACCCUUAUAAUACAGCAUGUCCAUAGAAAUAUACAUUUGCCUGUCCUGGUUCUCGUAGCGUACAAUUCAUGGACCUUAUUAGAGAUUAUUAUCUGUGAAUGUUAUUGCAGCUGAACUGAAAUUGAUUGUGAUAAUGGGCACACACACACACACACACACACACACACACAUUUAUUAUUGUCAAUAUUAUCAACAUGACAAUUUUGAAUUUGAUUAUCACACAUCAAAACAUUUGUAUUAAAGUGAUAUUUUCAAACGUGUAUUUUCAUUCUAAAUUUCAAAUCAUAUGUUCAUGAUCAAGGUCUGAAUAUUCAGGAUGAAGAAUAUUUUAGAGCUGUACAUUAUUUACAAAAAAAUAUGAACUUUCUCGUUCUUCUGCCAAGUGUAGGGCGCACCAAAGUUUUACCAGACACACAAUGCUACUUUCUUUAGCCAUAAAAUCCAUAAAACACCAUCCACUUGAAAUCUCAUUGUACACGAAAGAGUGUUGAUGUUGGAAUGAUUCAAAGUGAUGAACCUGAAGCAUGAUCCAUCAGGAAAUUCAGUUCCAAUAAUAAAAGCAAUCUAUACUCAGAGUUACAGAGUAACAUCAUGAUUCUAUUAUAUAUUUGCUUUUUUACAGAAGACAUGCUGCCACCUCAGAAUAUAUUGACGUUGACAUUGUUAUGAAAAAAGCAAAUGGAUGUAGCAGACAGUUUUAAUCAAAUAUUCAGAAGAUAAACCUUGGUAUAUUAGCAUACUCCAACAGAAAGCCAGAGUUAAUGGAGGUCCCAUGACAGAACAGGUAUUGGAUGAAACAAAGUAUUGGCUAAAAAAUCAACUUUCCAUUCCAUCAUGUGGAUAUGUCUGUUUGUACAAAAUUCAGAUGCCUGACAUGUUUUGGUCAGACAUUUUCCCAACAAUGAAUCUGUAGUCUGUUUAGCAGGUUGAUAUGUUUUGCUAUGAAAGUAACCUCCAUGUAAGACACUGAAAUUAUUACUGCCUGUUUUCCCAUUUCGUUCAUGAUUACAUGGGAGUUAAUUUCUCUGCCGUUAUUUAUGUGUGAUGGUGGAUGUGUCAAUAUUGAUAAACAUGUAAACAAUCUUAUGCAAUGGCAGAUUGUUGUCAUCUAUCGUCCAUUUGUUUCUCUGACCAAUGAUGUAAAUAAAGCAACAGUUGAUGGCAGUUGUGAUACUAUUAUCCCUAGGAAAUGUUGAGCAGCAUACACAAAUUGUGAUAUAUAUUCCAACAUUACCUUCAACACACUAAGAAAGCAGCUUGAUCUGAACAUUAUCAUUCAGAAUAUUCGUCCACUGCUGAUAAUAGCUGUUGAAUGGUACAUAUAUGCAUAUAUUUUCAUCAUGGAUCUUGUCAACAUUUCAGAAUAUAUUUGAAUUUUAUUGUGUUGUUUCACUUUGCAGAAUAAAAUUUUAACUAUUG